RNAcentral lists this ribosomal RNA (591 nucleotides) under Ballia sp. 4callitricha. RNAcentral describes it as "partial 28S ribosomal RNA". It matches the Rfam family "Eukaryotic large subunit ribosomal RNA", at positions 364 to 1009 of the family's 3401-position model. The record is from RNAcentral. Lineage: Eukaryota; Rhodophyta; Florideophyceae; Balliales; Balliaceae.
UUUAAAAGAACUUUGAAAAGAGAGUGAAAAGCGCUUGAAACCGUCACGAGGGAAGCGUAUUGCACGAGUGAUAGUGUUUGUUGUUCAGCUUGUCUUAAAGAAUUUUUUUUAAGGCUUGUGUAUUCAGUGUUCACUGCGUAAGCAUGGCUGGUUGGAGUGUGAUUUUCGCACUUUCGGCUGGUGAGGGCUCCCUGUUUAUCAGGUGAGGAUGUUUGCGACAUGUUGCGGUACGACCCGUCUUGAAACACGGACCAAGGAGUCUAGCAUGUCUGCGAGUCGAAGGAUUUUUUUUUAUACAAGUCCAUGGGCGGAGUGAAAGCAAAGUUUUUAAUUAAAACAAUUUGUGGAGGCGUUGCGUUUUUAACAAAAUGUCCUACCUUGAGCACAUAUGCUAGGACCCGAAAGAUGGUGAACUAUGCUGGAGUAGGGCAAAGCCAGAGGAAACUCUGGUGGAGGCUCGUAGCGAUGCUGACGUGCAAAUCGCUCGUCGAACUUGAGUAUAGGGGCGAAAGACUAAUCGAACCAUCUAGUAGCUGGUUCCCUCCGAAGUUUCUCUCAGGAUAGCGGGCCGUCAAUUUUUUUAUGUUUGUU